Molecule: non-coding RNA, 21 nt
Organism: Caenorhabditis elegans
Lineage: Eukaryota; Metazoa; Nematoda; Chromadorea; Rhabditida; Rhabditidae
Source: Ensembl
UGGUCUGCCAAAGAACACGUU